RNAcentral lists this ribosomal RNA (722 nucleotides) under uncultured Fusobacterium sp. RNAcentral's name for it is "bacterial SSU rRNA". It matches the Rfam family "Bacterial small subunit ribosomal RNA", at positions 28 to 776 of the family's 1533-position model. The record is from RNAcentral. Lineage: Bacteria; Fusobacteriati; Fusobacteriota; Fusobacteriia; Fusobacteriales; Fusobacteriaceae.
GAUGAACGCUGACAGAAUGCUUAACACAUGCAAGUCUACUUGAACUUCGGUUUGGGUGGCGGACGGGUGAGUAACGCGUAAAGAACUUGCCUCACAGUUAGGGACAACAUUUGGAAACGAAUGCUAAUACCUGAUAUUAUGAUUUUAGGGCAUCCUAAGAUUAUGAAAGCUAUAUGCGCUGUGAGAGAGCUUUGCGUCCCAUUAGCUAGUUGGAGAGGUAACGGCUCACCAAGGCGAUGAUGGGUAGCCGGCCUGAGAGGGUGAACGGCCACAAGGGGACUGAGACACGGCCCUUACUCCUACGGGAGGCAGCAGUGGGGAAUAUUGGACAAUGGACCAAAAGUCUGAUCCAGCAAUUCUGUGUGCACGAUGACGUUUUUCGGAAUGUAAAGUGCUUUCAGUUGGGAAGAAAAAAAUGACGGUACCAACAGAAGAAGUGACGGCUAAAUACGUGCCAGCAGCCGCGGUAAUACGUAUGUCACAAGCGUUAUCCGGAUUUAUUGGGCGUAAAGCGCGUCUAGGUGGUUAUGUAAGUCUGAUGUGAAAAUGCAGGGCUCAACUCUGUAUUGCGUUGGAAACUGCAUGACUAGAGUACCGGAGAGGUAAGCGGAACUACAAGUGUAGAGGUGAAAUUCGUAGAUAUUUGUAGGAAUGCCGAUGGGGAAGCCAGCUUACUGGACAGAUACUGACGCUAAAGCGCGAAAGCGUGGGUAGCAAACAGG